Molecule: unclassified non-coding RNA, 513 nt
Filed under: Hevea brasiliensis (rubber tree)
Lineage: Eukaryota; Viridiplantae; Streptophyta; Magnoliopsida; Malpighiales; Euphorbiaceae
Source: RNAcentral
GAGUGGAAAGAAGGCACUCGUUGUAAGUGAUCAUGAGAGCCAACCAGAUCUGGUGACUGAUUGGGCAUGGUCAUUGGUGAAGAAAGGGAGAGCUUUAGAUGUUAUUGAAGAUGGUAUGCCGGAGUUAGGCCCACAAGAAGUUUUGGAGAAGUAUGUAUUUAUUGCAGUUCUUUGUUCUCAUCCACAGUUACAUGCCAGGCCAACAAUGGAUCAGGCAGUAAAAAUGUUGGAAACAGACCAGUCAAUUCCCACUAUCCCAGAAAGGCCAAUUCCUCUGGCAGCCGAGAUGGACGAUAUUGAGAGAGUAAGCAGUUGCGGUUCAGGUAAGCUCUCUAGUCCGGCUGGCUACAAAACAUACAUAUUAGAGAAUGAUCGCCCUUCUAGCUAAAACGAGACAAGGUCUAGUUCGGACUCUGGACCAGUGGAAUUGCUGUAAAUUAUGUUGUUUGGCCGGAGGGAAUUAUUUAAGCCUUCCAGUGAUACUUCCAAAUUUUGAAACCUUAGGAUCAGGUG